GACGAACGCUGGCGGCGUGCCUAAUACAUGCAAGUAGAACGCUGAAGGAGGAGCUUGCUCUUCUGGAUGAGUUGCGAACGGGUGAGUAACGCGUAGGUAACCUGCCUGGUAGCGGGGGAUAACUAUUGGAAACGAUAGCUAAUACCGCAUAAGAGUAGAUGUCGCAUGACAUUUGCUUAAAAGGUGCAAUUGCAUCACUACCAGAUGGACCUGCGUUGUAUUAGCUAGUUGGUGAGGUAACGGCUCACCAAGGCAACGAUACAUAGCCGACCUGAGAGGGUGAUCGGCCACACUGGGACUGAGACACGGCCCAGACUCCUACGGGAGGCAGCAGUAGGGAAUCUUCGGCAAUGGACGGAAGUCUGACCGAGCAACGCCGCGUGAGUGAAGAAGGUUUUCGGAUCGUAAAGCUCUGUUGUAAGAGAGGAACGAGUGUGAGAGGGAAAGUUCACACUGUGACGG
RNAcentral lists this ribosomal RNA (462 nucleotides) under uncultured bacterium. RNAcentral's name for it is "bacterial SSU rRNA". It matches the Rfam family "Bacterial small subunit ribosomal RNA", at positions 28 to 475 of the family's 1533-position model. The record is from RNAcentral.